This 1549-nucleotide ribosomal RNA is filed under the name Aureimonas phyllosphaerae. RNAcentral's name for it is "bacterial LSU rRNA". It matches the Rfam family "Bacterial large subunit ribosomal RNA", at positions 1 to 1529 of the family's 2925-position model. The record is from RNAcentral. Lineage: Bacteria; Pseudomonadati; Pseudomonadota; Alphaproteobacteria; Hyphomicrobiales; Aurantimonadaceae.
CGAUCAAGUGUCUUAAGGGCAUCUGGUGAAUGCCUUGGCAUGCACAGGCGAUGAAGGACGUGAUACGCUGCGAUAAGCCAUGGGGAGCUGCGAAUAAGCUUUGAUCCGUGGAUUUCCGAAUGGGGCAACCCACCUCCGAGCCUUGGUCAGAUCGGAACGGCACUGGAUGGCGAUGAGCUGUCUGGUGGUGUUGCGGUGACCAAGGUUCAACAGCGAGGUAUCUAACCUUCGAAUACAUAGGGGUUAGAAGCGAACUCGGGGAACUGAAACAUCUAAGUACCCGAAGGAAAGGACAUCAACCGAGACUCCGUUAGUAGUGGCGAGCGAACGCGGACCAGGCCAGUGACCAUCGAAGAAAGAAGCCGAACAGGUUGGAAAGCCUGACAAGAGUGGGUGAUAGUCCCGUAGGCGCAAUGUUCUCGAUGGUCCUCGAGUAGGGCGGGACACGUGAAAUCCUGUCUGAAAUUGGGGGGACCACCCUCCAAGCCUAAGUACUCGUGCAUGACCGAUAGUGAACCAGUACCGUGAGGGAAAGGUGAAAAGCACCCCGACAAGGGGAGUGAAAGAGAACCUGAAACCGGAUGCCUACAAACAGUAGGAGCCCAAGGUUUGUCCUGGGUGACUGCGUACCUUUUGUAUAAUGGGUCAGCGACUUAGUCUGGCGAGCGAGCUUAAGCCGAUAGGUGUAGGCGCAGCGAAAGCGAGUCUGAACAGGGCGUUCAGUUCGUCGGAUUAGACCCGAAACCGAGUGAUCUAGCCAUGAGCAGGUUGAAGGUGCGGUAACACGCACUGGAGGACCGAACCCGCAUCUGUUGCAAUAGAUUGGGAUGACUUGUGGCUAGGGGUGAAAGGCCAAUCAAACUCGGAAAUAGCUGGUUCUCCGCGAAAUCUAUUUAGGUAGAGCGUCGACCGAAUACUCCAGGGGGUAGAGCACUGAAUGGGCUAGGGGGACUCACCGUCUUACCAAACCCAAUCAAACUCCGAAUACCUGGAAGUACUAGUCGGCAGACACACGGCGGGUGCUAACGUCCGUCGUGAAGAGGGAAACAACCCUGACCGACAGCUAAGGUCCCCAAGUUAUGGCUAAGUGGGAAAGGAUGUGAGAAUCCCAAAACAACCAGGAUGUUGGCUUAGAAGCAGCCAUCAUUUAAAGAAAGCGUAACAGCUCACUGGUCUAGAUUUAAGGGUUCUUGCGCCGAAAAUGUAACGGGGCUCAAGCCAUACACCGAAGCUUCGGGUUUACGCCUCUGGCGUAAGCGGUAGCGGAGCGUUCCCUAGGCCGUUGAAGGAGGAUCCGUGAGGACCUCUGGAGGUAUGGGAAGUGCGAAUGCUGACAUGAGUAACGAUAAAGGGUGUGAGAGACACCCUCGCCGAAAGUCCAAGGGUUCCUGCUUAAAGUUAAUCUGAGCAGGGUGAGCCGGCCCCUAAGGCGAGGCCGAAAGGCGUAGUCGAUGGGAACCACGUUAAUAAUCGUGGGCCUGGUGGUGAGUGACGGAUCCCGUGUGUUGUCGACCCUUAUUGGAUUGGGUCGGCUGCGAAGGGGUCCCAG